AAGCUGUGAUGAGGGCACUUAUACAACAGUCCUUGAAAUCUCUCUCAUGUGGUGUACAAUGAUUCCCCAUCCAUCUAUGUAAAACUCAUAAUUUUCUUCCUUAGUUC
Molecule: small nucleolar RNA, 107 nt
Organism: Zingiber officinale
Lineage: Eukaryota; Viridiplantae; Streptophyta; Magnoliopsida; Zingiberales; Zingiberaceae
Source: RefSeq, a predicted model, not a curated record